RNAcentral lists this ribosomal RNA (294 nucleotides) under uncultured bacterium. RNAcentral describes it as "partial 16S ribosomal RNA". It matches the Rfam family "Archaeal small subunit ribosomal RNA", at positions 455 to 747 of the family's 1478-position model. The record is from RNAcentral.
GUGCCAGCCCGCCGCGGUAAUACCGGCAGCCCGAGUGAUGACCGAUCUUAUUGGGCCUAAAGCGUCCGUAGCCGGCCAGACAAGUCCGUUGGGAAAUCCACGCGCUCAACGCGUGGGCGUCCAGCGGAAACUGCCUGGCUUGGGGCCGGAAGACUCGAGGGGUACGUCUGGGGUAGGAGUGAAAUCCUGUAAUCCUGGACGGACCACCGAUGGCGAAAGCACUUCGAGAAAACGGAUCCGACAGUGAGGGACGAAAGCCAGGGUCUCCAACCGGAUUAGAAACCCCGGUAGUCC